Molecule: ribosomal RNA, 345 nt
Filed under: uncultured bacterium
Lineage: Bacteria
Description: bacterial SSU rRNA
Rfam family: Bacterial small subunit ribosomal RNA
Source: RNAcentral
AAUCAACGCUGGCGGCGUGCCUCAGACAUGCAAGCCGAACGAUUAAAGCUCUCUUCGGAGAGUGUAUAGAGUGGCGCACGGGUGAGUAACACGUAAGUAAUCUACCUUCGAGUGGGGAAUAACGUCCGGAAACGGACGCUAAUACCGCAUAAUGCAGCGGCAUCGCAAGAUGACAGUUGUUAAAGAUUUAUCGCUUGAAGAGGAGCUUGCGGCAGAUUAGCUAGUUGGUAAGGUAAUGGCUUACCAAGGCUACGAUCUGUAACCGGUCUAAGAGGACGGUCGGUCACACUGACACUGAAUAACGGGUCAGACUCCUACGGGAGGCAGCAGUCGGGAAUUUUGGGC